This 636-nucleotide long non-coding RNA is filed under the name Triticum aestivum (bread wheat). RNAcentral describes it as "long non-coding RNA (TAES_LNC011037)". The record is from RNAcentral. Lineage: Eukaryota; Viridiplantae; Streptophyta; Magnoliopsida; Poales; Poaceae.
AUGAAAGCUUCAAGUGCACUUAGCAUUCACUAUAUUUAUUAAUAACUCUACGAGUUUUGCCUUUAAGCAGAUUUUAGUGAGACUAGACAUAUUAUUAUCGCUCCCAAACAUAACUAUGUUACUCCAGGAUACAAAGAGCUCAACUGUUAAAUGAAAGCUUCAAGUGCACUUGACAUAGUAAAUAUCCAUUGAAAUUCUAUGCGACGAUGCAAAUCUUGUAGUUGCAGAAGCCGAAGACCACACCAUCGCACCAAUAUUGCGUGACUUUAUAAUACCAACGAUGUUGGCAAUGGUACACGCAUUCGGACUUUAUACAUAAUGUGAUCCUGUCGCGCUUAAUCUCAUAGUUCUCUGUGCAUCUCAAAUAUACAUAGUGAGACAUCAAUUAUAACAACAUACCAUGUCAAACUACUGCAUAAUUGGUAACAUGUAUUAUUCUUCCACGGCAUAGAAACAAUGUGCGUCAACAUCAUAUUUAAGAAAACUUCUAGUAAUCCCAUAAGAAACCUACUUCAGAAGAACAAAAGCUAGAACAUACCUCCAGUCAUACUGCUUCCUGACAACACAAGCAUCACCAUAAAACAAGCAGUGGCGGGCCGUUUGUCCAUCCUUGAAUUCCACACCUGACGAUGCCCA